AUGGCUUGCAGUCUCUUUUUGACUUCAUAGACAUUGGUAGAGCAGUCAAACCUGGCUCUUACAGAUUGGUAAGGCCGUAUCCUAGGCGUGCUUUCGAGGAUGGGGAGAGUGCUUUGACGCUGAAUGAACUCGGCCUAACCAGCAAACAAGAGGCCUUAUAUUUGGAGUUGAUUUAAGAUACAACUCCGCAAUCGCAGAGAUAGUCCACAUACUCUGUUAAAACAUUUUCAAUUUAUUUAAGAUACAUAGUCUCACAUGAAAUAUUGGCUGUCAAUUGUCACCGUUUGGUUGAAAAUUGACGUUUGAGUCGAUGAGCAGGAUCAAACGCAAAAAGGGCAAAGCAGAAACAAUGCCUGUCAUUUCGGGUCAUGUACAUAUUUAUGGUGUUAAAAAGAUGAGAUACAUAAUCAAUUUCACACACAGGGCAUUACUGAAA
Long non-coding RNA from Morus notabilis, 436 nucleotides. RefSeq lists it as uncharacterized. The transcript has 2 exons. Lineage: Eukaryota; Viridiplantae; Streptophyta; Magnoliopsida; Rosales; Moraceae. The record is from RefSeq and is a predicted model, not a curated record.